AUUGAACGCUGGCGGCAUGCCUUACACAUGCAAGUCGAACGGCAGCACGGGUGCUUGCACCUGGUGGCGAGUGGCGAACGGGUGAGUAAUACAUCGGAACAUGUCCUGUAGUGGGGGAUAGCCCGGCGAAAGCCGGAUUAAUACCGCAUACGAUCUACGGAUGAAAGCGGGGGACCUUCGGGCCUCGCGCUAUAGGGUUGGCCGAUGGCUGAUUAGCUAGUUGGUGGGGUAAAGGCCUACCAAGGCGACGAUCAGUAGAUGGUCUGAGAGGACGACCAGCGACACUGGGACUGAGACACGGCCCAGACUCCUACACGAGGGAGCAGAGGGGAAUAUUUGACAAUGGGCGAAAGCCUGAUCCAGCAAUGUCGCGUGUGUGAAGAAGGCCUUCGGGUUGUAAAGCACUUUUGUCCGGAAAGAAAUCCUUGGCUCUAAUACAGUCGGGGGAUGACGGUACCGGAAGAAUAAGCACCGGCUAACUACGUG
Molecule: ribosomal RNA, 486 nt
Filed under: uncultured bacterium
Lineage: Bacteria
Description: partial 16S ribosomal RNA
Rfam family: Bacterial small subunit ribosomal RNA
Source: RNAcentral